CACACCGCCCGUCACACCAUGGGAGUUGAUUGCACCAGAAGUAGGUAGCCUAACCGCAAGGAGGGCGCUUACCGCGGUGUGGUCAAUGACUGGGGUG
RNAcentral lists this ribosomal RNA (97 nucleotides) under uncultured bacterium. RNAcentral's name for it is "partial 16S ribosomal RNA". It matches the Rfam family "Bacterial small subunit ribosomal RNA", at positions 1386 to 1482 of the family's 1533-position model. The record is from RNAcentral.